Molecule: long non-coding RNA, 253 nt
Filed under: Lupinus angustifolius (narrow-leaved blue lupine)
Lineage: Eukaryota; Viridiplantae; Streptophyta; Magnoliopsida; Fabales; Fabaceae
Description: long non-coding RNA (LANG_LNC002067)
Source: RNAcentral
UUGUUAUUUUUAAAUAAGGGUGGAUGAUAGCUUAAUUCAUCAAUGGUAAUUAUAAUUUUUUUUUGGGUACUAGAGUAUCUCUCACAUUUUUAGGUAAGUUUUGGGACUGUUGCUUCUUUCAAAUAAGUGUUACUCUCAUUAAUUAAACUCUUUACUUUUUAGUCUUAUUACGAAUAUCUAGUGGGAUUUUACAUCACUAAAUCAUUACCUUGUUGAUGUUAAAUUAUAUCUUGAUAAUAUAAAAAUAUUUUAU